CCUACGGGGGGCUGCAGUGGGGAAUAUUGGACAAUGGGGGGAACCCUGAUCCAGCCAUGCCGCGUGUGUGAAGAAGGCCCUCGGGUUGUAAAGCACUUUCAGUGAGGAAGAACGCCUGGUGGUUAAUACCCAUCAGGAAAGACAUCACUCACAGAAGAAGCACCGGCUAACUCCGUGCCAGCAGCCGCGGUAAUACGGAGGGUGCGAGCGUUAAUCGGAAUUACUGGGCGUAAAGCGCGCGUAGGUGGCUUGAUAAGCCGGUUGUGAAAGCCCCGGGCUCAACCUGGGAACGGCAUCCGGAACUGUCAAGCUAGAGUGCAGGAGAGGAAGGUAGAAGUCCCGGUGUAGCGGUGAAAUGCGUAGAGAUCGGGAGGAAUACCAGUGGCGAAGGCGGCCUUCUGGACUGACACUGACACUGAGGUGCGAAAGCGUGGGUAGCAAACAGGAUUAGAUACCCGAGUAGUC
RNAcentral lists this ribosomal RNA (465 nucleotides) under Vreelandella stevensii. Its description in RNAcentral is "partial 16S ribosomal RNA". It matches the Rfam family "Bacterial small subunit ribosomal RNA", at positions 338 to 795 of the family's 1533-position model. The record is from RNAcentral. Lineage: Bacteria; Pseudomonadati; Pseudomonadota; Gammaproteobacteria; Oceanospirillales; Halomonadaceae.